Molecule: non-coding RNA, 88 nt
Organism: Brassica napus (rape)
Lineage: Eukaryota; Viridiplantae; Streptophyta; Magnoliopsida; Brassicales; Brassicaceae
Source: Rfam
UCCCGGUGAUGACCAACACAAUAGAUGACGAGUCCGAUCAAUCCAUUCUUUAAAUCAUGGGGACAAUCGAGGCAUUUGUCUGAGAGGA